CAAGUAGUCAGAGCCCGUUAAUGGGUGAUGGCGUGCCUUUUGUAGAAUGAACCGGCGAGUUACGAUUUGAUGCAAGGUUAAGCAGUAAAUGUGGAGCCGUAGCGAAAGCGAGUCUGAAUAGGGCGUUUAGUAUUUGGUCGUAGACCCGAAACCAGGUGAUCUACCCUUGGUCAGGUUGAAGUUCAGGUAACACUGAAUGGAGGACCGAACCGACUUACGUUGAAAAGUGAGCGGAUGAACUGAGGGUAGCGGAGAAAUUCCAAUCGAACCUGGAGAUAGCUGGUUCUCUCCGAAAUAGCUUUAGGGCUAGCCUCAAGUGAUGAUUAUUGGAGGUAGAGCACUGUUUGGACGAGGGGCCCCUCUCGGGUUACCGAAUUCAGACAAACUCCGAAUGCCAAUUAAUUUAACUUGGGAGUCAGAACAUGGGUGAUAAGGUCCGUGUUCGAAAGGGAAACAGCCCAGACCACCAGCUAAGGUCCCAAAAUAUAUGUUAAGUGGAAAAGGAUGUGGCGUUGCCCAGACAACUAGGAUGUUGGCUUAGAAGCAGCCAUCAUUUAAAGAGUGCGUAAUAGCUCACUAGUCGAGUGACACUGCGCCGAAAAUGUACCGGGGCUAAACAUAUUACCGAAGCUGUGGAUUGUCCUUUGGACAAUGGUAGGAGAGCGUUCU
RNAcentral lists this ribosomal RNA (669 nucleotides) under Staphylococcus aureus. RNAcentral's name for it is "partial 23S ribosomal RNA". It matches the Rfam family "Bacterial large subunit ribosomal RNA", at positions 567 to 1242 of the family's 2925-position model. Lineage: Bacteria; Bacillati; Bacillota; Bacilli; Caryophanales; Staphylococcaceae. The record is from RNAcentral.